This 504-nucleotide ribosomal RNA is filed under the name uncultured Entrophospora. RNAcentral describes it as "SSU rRNA". It matches the Rfam family "Eukaryotic small subunit ribosomal RNA", at positions 569 to 1069 of the family's 1831-position model. The record is from RNAcentral. Lineage: Eukaryota; Fungi; Glomeromycota; Glomeromycetes; Entrophosporales; Entrophosporaceae.
AGCAGCCGCGGUAAUUCCAGCUCCAAUAGCGUAUAUUAAAGUUGUUGCAGUUAAAAAGCUCGUAGUUGAAUUUCGGGAUUGACGUGAUGGUCGUGCCUUAAGGGGUAUGAACUGUUGCUGUUGAUUUCUCACCUUCUGGAGAAACUUGAUGUCCUUAAUUGGGUGUCUUGCGGAUCCAGGACCUUUACCUUGAAAAAAUUAGAGUGUUUAAAGCAGGCAUUUUUGCUCGAAUACAUUAGCAUGGAAUAAUAGAAUAGGACGGCAUGGUUCUAUUUUGUUGGUUUCUAGGAUCACCGUAAUGAUUAAUAGGGAUAGUUGGGGGGCAUUAGUAUUCAAUUGUCAGAGGUGAAAUUCUUGGAUUUAUUGAAGACUAACUACUGCGAAAGCAUUUGCCAAGGAUGUUUUCAUUAAUCAAGAACGAAAGUUAGGGGAUCGAAGACGAUCAGAUACCGUCGUAGUCUUAACCAUAAACUAUGCCGACUAGGAAUCAGACGAUGUUAAUUU